Molecule: non-coding RNA, 41 nt
Organism: Filimonas lacunae
Lineage: Bacteria; Pseudomonadati; Bacteroidota; Chitinophagia; Chitinophagales; Chitinophagaceae
Source: Rfam
GAGGUGUAUGCCGAAAAGCCUUACAAAUAAAAGAGUAGGCG